GUGACCUCAGAUCAGACAAGGCCACCCGCUGAAUUUAAGCAUAUCAUUAGGCGGAGGAAAAGAAACUAACGAGGAUCCCCUUAGUAGCGGCGAGCGAAGCGGGGACAGUCCAACUUGAGAAUCGUAGUGCGCGUCGCUGUGCCUUCGAAUUGUAGUCUAGAGAAGCGCUCCCCGCGGCAGCCCGGGCCAAAGUUCCUUGGAAUGGGACGUCAGAGAGGGUGAGAGCCCCGUCGCCCCCGGCGUCUGCCGCGCCACGGGAAGCUGUCGUCGAGUCGGGUUGCUUGAGAAUGCAGCCCCAAUUCGGUGGUAAAUUCCAUCGAAGGCUAAAUACGCGCGAGAGCCCAAUAGCAAAAAAGUACCGCGAGGGAAAGAUGAAAAGUACUCUGAAAAGAGAGUGAAAAAGCGCUUGAAAUCGAUGCGAGGGAACCGAACGAGCGCAUCGCAGGGCACGCCGGACAACGCCCCGGAACGGUUAACGGUCCGGAGGCGUUCGCCCGGCGCGGAACAGCACGGGUUCCUCGGACUUCGCGGCGCAAGCCAUCGCGCGCGCGCGCCGCGGCCUGUCGAACUCGGCGCUGGGACGACGCGCUCUCCCGACCCGUCUUGUAACACGGACCAAGGAGUCUAACACGCACGCGAGUCCGCGGGCGGCAACCCCGCAGGCGUAAGGAAAUUGAGUCGUGAGAUCGCGGCAACGCGUGCAUCACGCGCCGACUUUGAGCAGACGCGCAAGGGUUCGAGUGGCAGCGCGCAUGUUGGGACCCGAAAGAUGGUGAACUAUGCCUGAGCAGGGCGAAGCCAGAGGAAACUCUGGUGGAAGAUCGCAGCGAUACUGACGUGCAAAUCGUUCGUCGGACUUGGGUAUAGGGGCGAAAGACUAAUCGAACCAUCUAGUAGCUGGUUCCCUCCGAAGUUUCCCCCAGGAUAGCCGGAGCCCGUUUUAAGUUCUAGCAGGUAAAGCAAAUGAUCAGAGGUCUCGGGAGCGAAACGCUCUCGACCUAUUCUCAAACUUUAAAUGGUUAGGGCGCCCGCCGUUGCCCGAGCGAACGGCGGGCUACAAUUGGGGCUCCGAGUGGGCCAUUUUUGGUAAGCAGAACUGGCGAUGCGGGAUGAACCGAAAGUCGGGAUAAGGUGCCCAACUCCGCGCUAACCUAGACUACACAAAGGGUGUUGAUCGAUACAGACAGCAGGACGGUGGUCAUGGAAGUCGAAACCCGCUAAGGAAUGUGUAACAACUCACCUGCCGAAUCAACUAGCCCCGAAAAUGGAUGGCGCUGAAGCGCGGGACCUAUCCCCGACCGCGGCGGCGUGUGAACGCCGGCGUGAGUAGGAGGGCGUGGGGGCGGCGCCGCACCCCGGCGAGUGAUCCCGGGAGAAGCCGCCUCCAGUGCAGAUCUUGGUGGCAGUAGCAAAUAUUCAAAUGAAACCUUUGAAGACUGAAGUGGAGAAGGGCUCCAUGUGAACAGCAUUUGGACAUGGGUUAGUCGAUUCUAAGGCCCCACCCGAAAGGGAAGCAAGCGCGGGCUCGCCCCGCGCGCCGCCGAAAGAGAAGAGGGUUAAUAUUCUCGCACCGGGAUGUGGCAGCCGCGGCAACGCAACGGAAUCCAGAGACGCCCGCCGGGGCUCCGGGAAGAGUUGUCUUUUCUUUUUGACAGCGCACGCGCCCUGGAAUUGAUUCGCUCGGCGAGAGGGCGCGGCACGCUGGCAGAGCGCCGCACUGGUUGCGGCGUCCGGCGCACCCCGGCGCGCCCGAGAAAAUCUGGAGGACCCUUCUGCUGUAUCACGCCCGAUCGUACCCAUAACCGCAUCAGGUCUCCAAGGUGAGAAGCCUCUAGUCAAACGGAUGAAUGUGGGUAAGGGAAGUCGGCAAAAUGGAUCCGUAACUUCGGAAAAAGGAUUGGCUCUGAGGACUGAGCACGGGAAUCUGGCGUCCGAGGCGGGGAGUCCCCGAAUGCCUGCCGACGCUGCGUCCGCGCGGCGGCGGCGGGCCUUGGCGACGAGCCGUCAAGGCGGCCAGAGCGCGCGCUUCAUCGCGCGCGCGUGUCUCGUGCGCUCGACAGUCGGCUCAGAACUGGAACGGACAAGGGGAAUCCGACUGUUUAAUUAAAACAAAGCAUUGCGAUGGUGCACGCGCAUGUUGACGCAAUGUGACUUCUGCCCAGUGCUCUGAAUGUCAAAGUGAAGAAAUUCAACCAAGCGCGGGUAAACGGCGGGAGUAACUAUGACUCUCUUAAGGUAGCCAAAUGCCUCGUCAUCUAAUUAGUGACGCGCAUGAAUGGAUUAACGAGAUUCCCACUGUCCCUAUCCACUAUCCGGCGAAACCACAGCCAAGGGAACGGGCUUGGCGGAAUCAGCGGGGAAAGAAGACCCUGUUGAGCUUGACUCUAGUUCGGCUCUGUGAGAUGACUUGGAAGGUGUAGCAUAAGUGGGAGGGCGCUUCGCGCGUCCGCAAGUGAAAUACCACUACUACCAACGUUGUUUUACUUACUCCAUGAGGCGGGAACGGGGGAUCCUCCCCCAGCUUGUAGACCCAAGGCGCGACUUGUCGCGCCGACCCGAGUGGAGGACAUUGUCAGGUGGGGAGUUCGGCUGGGGCGGCACAUCUGUAAAAAGAUAACGCAGGUGUCCUAAGACGUACUCAACGAGAACGGAAAUCCCGUGAGGAGCAAAAGGGCAAAAGUACGUUUGAUUCCGAUUUUCAGUACGAAUACGAACUGUGAAAGCAUGGCCUAUCGAUCCUUUUUUACUUCGGAGUUUGAAGCAAGAGGUGUCAGAAAAGUUACCACAGGGAUAACUGGCUUGUGGCAGCCAAGCGUUCAUAGCGACGUUGCUUUUUGAUCCUUCGAUGUCGGCUCUUCCUAUCAUUGUGAAGCAGAAUUCACCAAGUGUUGGAUUGUUCACCCACCAACAGGGAACGUGAGCUGGGUUUAGACCGUCGUGAGACAGGUUAGUUUUACCCUACUGAUGGAUUCGCGCCGCAAUAGUAAUUCAACUUAGUACGAGAGGAACCGUUGAUUCACGUCGCUGGCAAAUGCGCCUGGUCGAAUCGCCAGUAGCGCGAACCUACACGUGCAGGAUUAUGACUGAACGCCUCUAAGUCAGAAUCCGUGCUAAAAGCGGCGCAGUACCGCCCUCGACCGUGGACGAUUCCAUGUAGGGACGCUUCAUGCAAGCGCUCCCCUAAAGCAUACGCAACAUCACGCAAGCCGUGCUUCAACACCGACGAGGGUGCAAU
Molecule: ribosomal RNA, 3235 nt
Filed under: Spirogyra pratensis
Lineage: Eukaryota; Viridiplantae; Streptophyta; Zygnematophyceae; Spirogyrales; Spirogyraceae
Description: eukaryotic LSU rRNA
Rfam family: Eukaryotic large subunit ribosomal RNA
Source: RNAcentral